Molecule: long non-coding RNA, 541 nt
Filed under: Brachypodium distachyon (stiff brome)
Lineage: Eukaryota; Viridiplantae; Streptophyta; Magnoliopsida; Poales; Poaceae
Description: long non-coding RNA (BDIS_LNC003745)
Source: RNAcentral
AUGAGUUGAGCGGCGGCGGCCGGCUAGUCCAGCGGCCAGCGAGUUCAGCUGCGGCGUCCGGUGGCGGCGUGGUAGCGAUGGCUGCAGGUCAAGCCUCGAGCAAAUGGUCCCUUCCAUGCGCCCCCUGCAAGGUUAGUUUUUUUUCGGGGCCUUUGGGCCAUCCCGAUCAUAGUUACCGGAUUCGCUCAAUACACCGCCGAACCGGGUUCGAAUUCGUUCUAGAAUUAGGUCCAGCCAUGCGCCCCCUGCAAGGUUAGUUUUUUUUCGGGGCCUUUGGGCCAUCUAGAUCGGGGUUCGAAUUCACGGCCCGAUUCACGACCUGCACAAACACAGUUCGAUCACCAAUUUGGCUUGUCAUUUGGCCGCGGUGCUUCCCUCGCCGCUCGAUGAUGCCACCUCUUAUCACCAACGGGUGUUGCAGGAGAGGAAGGCUGCCGCACGGGGGAGGAGGAAGGCCGCCAUGUGAGGAAAGAGAGGAAGGCCGCCGCAUGCCGGAGGAGUGGGAGGCCGCCGUACGCUGCCGCCUGCAGGAAGAGGAAGC